CGCCUGUUUAACAAAAACAUGUCUUUUUGAGUAUAAUUUAAAGUCUAACCUGCCCAAUGAGGAGUUAAAUGGCCGCGGUAAUUUGACCGUGCAAAGGUAGCAUAAUCAUUAGUUUUUUAAUUGAAAGCUGGUAUGAAUGGUUGGACGAGAGAAUGACUGUCUCAAUUUAAUUUAAUUAGAAUUUUAUUUUUAAGUAAAAAAGCUUAAAUAAUUUUAAAAGACGAGAAGACCCUAUAGAGUUUUAUAUUUAUUAUAAUAGGAUUAUUUUAGAAUUUAGUUUAUGAAUAUUAUUGUACGUAUUUUGUUGGGGCGACAGAAAAAUUAAAAGAACUUUUUUUUAUUUAAUACCAUUGAUAUAUGAAUUUAUGAUCCGUUAAUAGAACGAUUAUAAGAUUAAAUUACCUUAGGGAUAACAGCGUAAUUUUUUUUGAGAGUUCUAAUCGAAAAAAGAGUUUGCGACCUCGAUGUUGGAUUAAAAUUAACUUUUGGUGUAGGGGCUAAAAGGUUAGGUCUGUUCGACCUUUAAAAUUUUACAUGAUCUGAGUUCAAACCGGAG
This 556-nucleotide ribosomal RNA is filed under the name Schizonycha increta. Its description in RNAcentral is "partial 16S ribosomal RNA". It matches the Rfam family "Bacterial large subunit ribosomal RNA", at positions 1797 to 2621 of the family's 2925-position model. Lineage: Eukaryota; Metazoa; Arthropoda; Insecta; Coleoptera; Scarabaeidae. The record is from RNAcentral.